Diospyros lotus (date-plum) is the source of this 146-nucleotide small nucleolar RNA. RefSeq annotates it as small nucleolar RNA snoR135. The record is from RefSeq and is a predicted model, not a curated record. The transcript has a single exon. NCBI's taxonomy places the organism in Eukaryota, Viridiplantae, Streptophyta, Magnoliopsida, Ericales, Ebenaceae.
UACGCAGAGAUUGUGUGUAUCGGCGUUGUGCUAUAACCAGUGCACUCUGCUCGAAAGUGUUCUCUGCGAGAUCAGAAUGUGAAGGUGGGCAGUUGCUUUUCCAUUCUAUUCCAUGGAAAAUUUCAACAAUCAUCUUCCCUACAUCU